AACGAACGCUGGCGGCAUGCCUAACACAUGCAAGUCGAACGAGACCUCCGGGUCUAGUGGCGCACGGGUGCGUAACGCGUGGGAACCUGCCCUUAGGUUCGGAAUAACUCUCCGAAAGGGGUGCUAAUACCGGAUAAUGUCUUCGGCCCAAAGAUUUAUUGCCUUUGGAUGGGCGCGCGUUGGAUUAGCUGGUUGGUAGGGUAAAAGCCUACCAAGGCGACCAUCCAUAGCUGGUUUGAGAGGAUGAUUAGCCACACUGGGACUGAGACGCGGCCCAGACUCCUACGCGAUGCAGGAGUGGGUGAUAUUGGAAAAUGGGCGGAAGCAUGAUCCAGCUAUGCCGCGUGAGUGAUGAAGGCCGUAGGGUUGUAAAGCUCUUGUACCCGGGAUGAUAAUGACAGUACCGGGAGAAUAAGCGCCGGCUAACUCCGUG
Molecule: ribosomal RNA, 433 nt
Filed under: uncultured bacterium
Lineage: Bacteria
Description: partial 16S ribosomal RNA
Rfam family: Bacterial small subunit ribosomal RNA
Source: RNAcentral